UACGGAAGGGGGCUAGCGUUGCUCGGAAUGACUGGGCGUAAAGGGCGCGUAGGCGGUUCGUACAGUCAGACGUGAAAUUCCCGGGCUCAACCUGGGGGCUGCGUUUGAUACGUGCGGGCUUGAGUUCGGAAGAGGGUCGUGGAAUUCCCAGUGUAGAGGUGAAAUUCGUAGAUAUUGGGAAGAACACCGGUGGCGAAGGCGGCGACCUGGUCCGAUACUGACGCUGAGGCGCGAAAGCGUGGGGAGCAAACAGG
Molecule: ribosomal RNA, 254 nt
Filed under: uncultured bacterium
Lineage: Bacteria
Description: partial 16S ribosomal RNA
Rfam family: Bacterial small subunit ribosomal RNA
Source: RNAcentral